GUUUUGAUUUUUUCUUCUUCUUC
Molecule: small RNA, 23 nt
Filed under: Arabidopsis thaliana (thale cress)
Lineage: Eukaryota; Viridiplantae; Streptophyta; Magnoliopsida; Brassicales; Brassicaceae
Description: ATSL300970
Source: RNAcentral